AUUGAACGCUGGCGGCAGGCCUAACACAUGCAAGUCGAGCGGAAACGAUCCUAGCUUGCUAGGAGGCGUCGAGCGGCGGACGGGUGAGUAACGCGUGAGAAUCUACCCAUGAGUGGGGGACAACCCGGGGAAACUCGGGCUAAUACCGCAUACGCCCUACGGGGUAAAGCAGGGGACCUUCGGGCCUUGCGCUGAUGGAUGAGCUCGCGUCGGAUUAGCUUGUUGGUGAGGUAAAGGCUCACCAAGGCGACGAUCCGUAGCUGGUCUGAGAGGAUGAUCAGCCACACCGGGACUGAGACACGGCCCGGACUCCUACGGGAGGCAGCAGUGGGGAAUCUUGGACAAUGGGGGCAACCCUGAUCCAGCCAUGCCGCGUGUGUGAAGAGGGCCUUCGGGUUGUAAAGCACUUUCAGCAGGGAGGAAGGCUUACCCCUAAUACGGGUGAGUACUUGACGUUACCUGCAGAAGAAGCACCGGCUAAUUUCGUG
This 488-nucleotide ribosomal RNA is filed under the name uncultured bacterium. Its description in RNAcentral is "bacterial SSU rRNA". It matches the Rfam family "Bacterial small subunit ribosomal RNA", at positions 29 to 507 of the family's 1533-position model. The record is from RNAcentral.